This 417-nucleotide ribosomal RNA is filed under the name uncultured bacterium. RNAcentral's name for it is "bacterial SSU rRNA". It matches the Rfam family "Bacterial small subunit ribosomal RNA", at positions 362 to 776 of the family's 1533-position model. The record is from RNAcentral.
UAUUGGUCAAUGGGCGAGAGCCUGAACCAGCCAAGUCGCGUGAAGGAUAAAGGAUCUAUGGUUCGUAAACUUCUUUUAUAAGGGAAUAAAGUGCGCCACGUGUGGUGUUUUGUAUGUACCUUAUGAAUAAGGAUCGGCUAACUCCGUGCCAGCAGCCGCGGGAAUACGGAGGAUGCGAGCGUUAUCCGGAUUUAUUGGGUUUAAAGGGUGCGUAGGUGGUUUAUUAAGUCAGCAGUGAAAGUUUGUGGCUCAACCAUAAAAUUGCCGUUGAAACUGGUUAACUUGAGUAUAUUUGAGGUAGGCGGAAUGCGUGGUGUAGCGGUGAAAUGCAUAGAUAUCACGCAGAACUCCAAUUGCGAAGGCAGCUUACUAAACUAUAACUGACACUGAAGCACGAGAGCAUGGGUAGCGAACAGG